AUGCCACGUGCUGAUGGUCCCUUUAAGGUGUUAGAGAAAAUAAAUGAUAAUGCAUAUAAACUUGAGCUGCCUGCAGAUUUUGGGGUUAGUCCCACUUUUAACAUUGCAGAUUUGAAGCCUUAUUUGGGUGAGGAAGAUGAACUUCCGUCGAGGACGACUUCAUUUCAAGAAGGGGAGGAUGAUGAGGACAUCAAUACAAUUGUUACACCCACAGCCCCUGCUGCUAUACAUACUGGACCAAUUACUAGAGCUCGUACACGCCAACUAAAUUACCAGGUACUUUCGUUUCUUGGUAAUGAUUCUAAUGUUCAUGAGAAUAUGAUGCUGCCUAAAUUGGAUACAUUUGUUUUGCUUACAAAUGAAGGGCCUAGCUUGGAGAAGGAUGAACAUUGGAGC
RNAcentral lists this ribosomal RNA (396 nucleotides) under Triticum aestivum (bread wheat). RNAcentral describes it as "partial small subunit ribosomal RNA". Lineage: Eukaryota; Viridiplantae; Streptophyta; Magnoliopsida; Poales; Poaceae. The record is from RNAcentral.